Molecule: ribosomal RNA, 328 nt
Filed under: uncultured eukaryote
Lineage: Eukaryota
Description: partial 18S ribosomal RNA
Rfam family: Eukaryotic small subunit ribosomal RNA
Source: RNAcentral
CCCUUAGAUGUCCUGGGCCGCACGCGCGCUACACUGAUGCAUGCAACGAGUUUAUAACCUUGGCCUGAAAGGUCUGGGUAAUCUUUUGAACGUGCAUCGUGAUAGGGAUAGAUUAUUGCAAUUGUUAAUCUUGAACGAGGAAUUCCUAGUAAACGCGAGUCAUCAGCUCGCAUUGAUUACGUCCCUGCCCUUUGUACACACCGCCCGUCGCACCUACCGAUUGAAUUGUUCGGUGAAGAUCUCGGACUUCGAUAUUUAUUCUUUAUUGAGUUUAUAUUGUGGGAAGUUAUCUAAACCUCAUCAUUUAGAGGAAGGUGAAGUCGUAACA